AGCGAACGCUGGCGGCAGGCUUAACACAUGCAAGUCGAGCGGGCACUUCGGUGUCAGCGGCAGACGGGUGAGUAACACGUGGGAACGUACCCUUUGGUUUGGAAUAACGCUGGGAAACUAGCGCUAAUACCGGAUACGCCCUUUUGGGGAAAGGCUUGCUGCCGAAGGAUCGGCCCGCGUCUGAUUAGCUAGUUGGUGGGGUAAUGGCCUACCAAGGCGACGAUCAGUAGCUGGUCUGAGAGGAUGAUCAGCCACACUGGGACUGAGACACGGCCCAGACUCCUACGGGAGGCAGCAGUGGGGAAUAUUGGACAAUGGGCGCAAGCCUGAUCCAGCCAUGCCGCGUGAGUGAUGAAGGCCUUAGGGUUGUAAAGCUCUUUUGUCCGGGACGAUAAUGACGGUACCGGAAGAAUAAGCCCCGGCUAACUUCGUG
This 433-nucleotide ribosomal RNA is filed under the name uncultured bacterium. RNAcentral describes it as "partial 16S ribosomal RNA". It matches the Rfam family "Bacterial small subunit ribosomal RNA", at positions 29 to 507 of the family's 1533-position model. The record is from RNAcentral.